This 253-nucleotide long non-coding RNA is filed under the name Papio anubis (olive baboon). RNAcentral describes it as "lncRNA (ENSPANG00000049411.1)". The record is from RNAcentral. Lineage: Eukaryota; Metazoa; Chordata; Mammalia; Primates; Cercopithecidae.
CCUGCCUUCCCCCCUGAGCCGCGGAGGGGGAGUUCAGGUGAGUCUGGCCAGGUGUGGGCCACAGGGAUUCUUCCUCCUGUGACGUAGCAGAAAAAGCACUUGUUUUAAACAGCAGAAGACAUGAGUUUGCAAGAGCAUUCUAUCACUUAUGAAUUCUGUGCCCGUGGAAAAGUCAUAGGAACCUCGAUUUUCAUGGAUAUGUAGCGGCAGAGGCCAAAGUCUAUAAAUUUCUGACUCUGCGCCCUACUCAUUG